CCCUCAGCUCUCCACCUCCCUCAGCUCUCUCUUUAUUCCUCAAACCUCAUCCCCAUUCGCUCAGUUUAAAGCUUUGUCUCUGUGUUUUGUGAUGUGGGAACUGAUAAGAGCUGUGCUCUUCUGCCUCUCUCACUGAGUUCUCUCUACGUGUGUAACAGUGCAGAUUUUGACAACAGUGGUACCAUAGACUAUGGAGAGUUUGUAGCAGCUAUGCUCCAUCUAAACAAGGUCCAGAGGGAGGAUCAUUUGUUUGCAGCCUUCUCAUACUUUGACAAAGAUGUGAGUGGAUACAUCACUGCAGAUGAACUACAACAGGCCUGUGAGCAGUUUGGCUUAGAAGAUGUUCAGCUAGAAGAUAUAAUGCGUGAAGUUGACCAGGAUAAUGUACACCAACUUAGACUAAUCCAUGGAUUGAUCUUUCCCAUUUUGUCAUUUGGCCUCGUUUUUGUUAUCUAAAAAUUUCUUUGUUUGUGUAUGUGGGUUGGCCCUUUUUGUGUUAUUUGGUUUGAGGCUCUCUCUUUUUUGUUGAAGUAUCUGAAUUUUAGCUGGUUGAAUUGUUAUUUGGAUUAUAAUCUGUUUUGUUGAUUGGUAUUAUUUUGGUUGGUUCUAUUUAGAGUUUGUGUUUUCUGGGUGAUUAGAUUGAAAUUUGAUGCAAGUAAAUUGCAUUGACAUGCAUGGCAUGCUCCUUUGUAGAGAAUCAAUGUAUCAGUUCUUGCUCUCCCUCCAUUGGAACUUAUUACAGAAAUUUGGUGUCAAUGUAAUUGUGUAAUAUAUAUCAAUACAGCACAAAGGCGCGGUAUAA
This is a long non-coding RNA of Quercus lobata, 802 nucleotides long. RefSeq lists it as uncharacterized. The record is from RefSeq and is a predicted model, not a curated record. The transcript has 3 exons. Lineage: Eukaryota; Viridiplantae; Streptophyta; Magnoliopsida; Fagales; Fagaceae.